AUUCCCCUGGUAUGUUCGUGAUUGGUGGAAGGUUUUGGGUCAAAACGAAUGAAAAAGGGAGUUCCCUUUUACUCUCGUGUGUUUCUUAGAUAUUGAAAGAAGGCCUAAUGGGGUAAUGGAACGCCCACCUAAACAACAGUAGAUCAAAAAAGAACUGCUGACACGGCAUUGGAGCGGGGGAAAA
RNAcentral lists this non-coding RNA (184 nucleotides) under Desulfobacterales bacterium. RNAcentral describes it as "6S RNA". It matches the Rfam family "6S / SsrS RNA". From Rfam's summary of the family: E. coli 6S RNA was the first non coding RNA to be sequenced, but its function was unknown until recently. It consists of 184 nucleotides that fold into an extended hairpin structure with a large single-stranded internal bulge. The 6S RNA specifically associates with RNA polymerase holoenzyme containing the sigma70 specificity factor. The record is from RNAcentral. Lineage: Bacteria; Pseudomonadati; Thermodesulfobacteriota; Desulfobacteria; Desulfobacterales.